RNAcentral lists this small nuclear RNA (344 nucleotides) under Myotis brandtii (Brandt's bat). RNAcentral describes it as "7SK RNA". It matches the Rfam family "7SK RNA". Rfam says of the family: 7SK was discovered as an abundant small nuclear RNA in the mid-70s but a possible function has only recently been suggested. Two independent studies have found that 7SK RNA binds the CDK9/cyclin T complex (known as elongation factor P-TEFb). Lineage: Eukaryota; Metazoa; Chordata; Mammalia; Chiroptera; Vespertilionidae. The record is from Rfam by way of RNAcentral.
GGAUGUGAGGGCGAUCUGGCUGCGACAUCUGUCACCCCAUUAAUCGCCAGGGUUGAUUCGGCUGAUCUGGCUGGCUAGGCGGGGGUCCCCCUCCUCCCUCACCGAUCCAUUUGCGUCCCUCCCGAAGCUGCGCGCUCGGUCGAAGAGGACGACCUCCCCCCCCCAAGGAGAGGACCGGUCUUCGGUCAAGGGUAUACGAGUAGCUGCGCUCCCCUCCUAGAACCUCCAAACAAGCUAUCGUAAAAAUGUAAAAUGCCAUUUAAAUUUUUUUUUUUAGUGUUACAUAGACAACAUGGAGGAAAAAAUGAACUUGAGUAUUCAGAUCUGGAGGAAAAUAGCUAUUU